This is a long non-coding RNA of Homo sapiens (human), 1724 nucleotides long. Ensembl annotates it as long intergenic non-protein coding RNA 1331. Lineage: Eukaryota; Metazoa; Chordata; Mammalia; Primates; Hominidae. The record is from Ensembl.
AGAGUGCUCGCAGCACUUGGGAGUUGGCAGAUGAACUCUUUUAGUGGUUGUUUUUUAAAAAUUGCUUUGAGUGGUCUGGGGAAUACAUUAAUUUAAUAUCCUCUUCAUAUUCAGAAUAUGUAACACCAUUGUGAGAAAUAAAACCCCAAGGUGAACAAGAUUGAAAGUGAAGGCAGCGCUCUAAGGAGGAAGCCAGCUGGCUUGAAUGGUGAUGUAAACAGCCUUGGAGGUUGUAAAAUUUGUGGGGCAAAGGCGGUAUGGAGUAAUGACAGGAAAAAGAAUGCUGUCCAUUUUUACUGUGAAAAAACUCCCUAUUUCAGAAAGAUAUACAUUAGGGUUGUGAGGUUGUAGGCUGAAUGAAGAUUGGAAGAAACUUGUUGAUUAUUAUUAAAUGCCUCUCAAUAUUUCAGAAGACAUUCCCCCACCCUGAAAGUAUAAUGUGAUAGAAAGAACUAUGGAGUUAGGCAACCUGUGAUUUGAGUUGUGCGAAAACGGGAAAGUUAUUUGUUUAGUCAAAGCCUCUGUUUCCACUUCCAUCAAGUGAGAUAAUAAUAUGUACUUCACUAGGUUAUUGGGAGGAUGAAAUGACUACCAGUACUGCAGAUACAUUUCUGAUACCCACAGCUUCCUGAGCAAGGUAUAGAUUAGCUAUCUCUUUGGUUUCCCUGAGGUAGCACAACAGAACCAAGAAAGUUCUUAUAAAAUGUGUUGUUCUCAAUUUUGCACUUGCUUCGAAAGAACUAGAAACCAAGGCAUGGUGCCAUCUCAAGAAGACAGAAGCAGAAGCCUGCCAGAAACUGGCUUGGUUGAAACUCUGGUUCAAAGCAUCAGGAAGCUAGCCAUUUUCCCUAACUUCUCACUAACAUAUAUACAAAGAGAUUUUUAAAAAAGAUAAAAUGUACAACACUGAAAAAUGACUAACAACCAAAUUCCAGCAUUUUGAAGAAACUGACAAUAAUUCUAAGCCAGAUGGAGAGAACCGAGAAUAACCGGUGUAGCUUUCCUCAUAUGUCAUACCUCUACUUUGCCUCCCCCAUUUGAAGACCUGGUGCCUAUAUCAAACAGAAAACUGUCCAGUUCUGUGAGGAGAGCAGAGUGCCUCUCUAUACGUUUCUCCCACAGCCACCUGCCCUCUGCCUCUUGUCCCCACUCAGGCUGCCACCCUGUCAUAUUUAGGCCAAGACCCCAAAUCUCAGAAAAAAGGUGAUCAGGAAGUAGUGGUGUGCUGACAAUGGUCCAAGGCCUGAGUGGGGUGGAUACACCCUUGAAUAAUCCCUUCCCCUUGAGAAUGAGUGGAAAUUGUGACUGGCUUCUAGCCAGUUGAGUACCGUGAAGGUGAUGGAUGUCACUCCUGUGAUUAUGUUACAUUAUCUAAGAAUUGUCCUAGUGGGCCCUAACAAGAGAUUCUUUUGCUGGCCUUGAAGAAGUAGGCUGACAUAUCAUGAGUGGACCUGGGAGAGGGCCACAUGCAAGGAACAGAGGGGGCCUGUAGAUGCCGAGAGCAGCCCUGGCUGACAGCCAGCAAGAAAGCAGGGACCUGCAUUCUACAGCUGCAAGAAACUGAAUUCUGCCAGCAACCCCCUGAGCUUUGAAGAGGAUCUCAAGACCCAGAAAGAAAUGCAGCCAGCCAACAUCUUGAUAGCACCCUUGUGAGACUCCGAGCAGAGGACCAAGCUAGGCCAUCUUCAGACUCCUGCCCCGCAGAAACUGUGAGAUAAUAAAUG